CUCCUUUUUAGAGAAAAACGACUCUCAAAACAUAUACGUUGGUUUUAUUGGGCUGCUGCAUCAUUCUUCUUUUUCCGUCCUUGUCUAGUCCUGUAGCUCAGUUGGUUAGAGCACUACACUGAUAAUGUAGGGGUCAGCAGUUCAAAUCUGCUCAGGACUACGGUAAAGAUGGGGGAUUAGCUCAGCUGGCUAGAGCGCCUGCCUUGCACGCAGGAGGUCAUCGGUUCGACUCCGAUAUUCUCCACUAAAAAAGAAGUUCUUUGACGUACUGGUAGAAGAUAGAGUAAAUUAUAAGCAACAAAGGGCAGUUGGCGGAUGCCUAGGCUCUCAAUAGCGAUGAAGGACGUGAUAAGCUGCGAUAAGCCAUACUGAGAUGCAAAUAAUCGUUUAAGUAUGGAUUUCCGAAUGGGG
Molecule: unclassified non-coding RNA, 411 nt
Filed under: uncultured Bacteroidota bacterium
Lineage: Bacteria; Pseudomonadati; Bacteroidota
Description: uncultured Bacteroidetes bacterium partial 16S-23S ribosomal RNA intergenic spacer
Rfam family: Bacterial large subunit ribosomal RNA (bases 289-411)
Source: RNAcentral